GAACGCUGGCGGCGUGCUUAACACAUGCAAGUCGAACGGAAAGGCCCUGCUUUUGUGGGGUGCUCGAGUGGCGAACGGGUGAGUAACACGUGAGUAACCUGCCCUUGACUUUGGGAUAACUUCAGGAAACUGGGGCUAAUACCGGAUAGGAGCUCCUGCUGCAUGGUGGGGGUUGGAAAGUUUCGGCGGUUGGGGAUGGACUCGCGGCUUAUCAGCUUGUUGGUGGGGUAGUGGCUUACCAAGGCUUUAACGGGUAGCCGGCCUGAGAGGGUGACCGGCCACAUUGGGACUGAGAUACGGCCCAGACUCCUACGGGAGGCAGCAGUGGGGAAUAUUGCACAAUGGGCGGAAGCCUGAUGCAGCAACGCCGCGUGCGGGAUGACGGCCUUCGGGUUGUAAACCGCUUUCGCCUGUGACGAAGCGUGAGUGACGGUAAUGGGUAAAGAAGCACCGGCUAACUACGUG
RNAcentral lists this ribosomal RNA (465 nucleotides) under uncultured bacterium. RNAcentral describes it as "partial 16S ribosomal RNA". It matches the Rfam family "Bacterial small subunit ribosomal RNA", at positions 31 to 507 of the family's 1533-position model. The record is from RNAcentral.